UCUCUCUCUCUCUCACCCUCUCUCUCUCUCUCUCUCUUUUCCCACCUGCUCCCUCCCAGCAUGGUAGCCUCAGGGUUGCCUGACUUCUGACUUGGUGGCUCAAAGCUUCAAAGAUGCACAUCCCCAGAGACUCCAUUGCCCUUUAUCGUCCAGCUUUGGAAGUCAGUCAACAUCAUUUCUAUUGAAUUUUGUGCACUAGAAGAAAGUCACUAAGGCCAGCCCAUAAUAAUCAAUGGGAGGGGAAUUAAACUCUACAUUCUGCUGGGAAUACUGUCAAAGAAUUUGCAGAUGUGUUUUUAAACCACCACGCCUAGGAAAAUCAUUUCUCAUUCCUUUAGAUUGAGCUUUUUAUUGCUGCCAAAAUAUGCAAAUCUAACCAGCCUUGGCCAAUCAUUGUUCACAGGAAAAAACACUCUCUGAAUCAUUGACUCUACCUAUCUGAUCCAUAAAAUUACAGAAGUUGAACACGUUUCAGAUCUUGUCGAGAUUUCACAGAGGAGAAAACUGAGUCCUGGGGAGGCUAAAGUUUCUUGUUUCAAGGAGCAUAAUGAUUCUGCCUAGCAUUGCUAUAGUAUUAACAAAAUCACUUAUCAGCAUUCUCCUAUAUUUAUUGGCACUCUUCAAAGUAUUCUUCAAAUAGCAUCUUGCACAGUCUUUAUCAUAGUUAUAAGAGCAGCUGCCAUCUUCCAGAUGGGUAAAUGGGACCUCAGUGAUGUCAUGUGAGUUGCCCAAAAUCCAAGCUUUGGCUUGGCUUUGUUAAGUAGCCAAAGGAAGUUUGAGAUUCCCUCUGUCUAACUUGAAAGCCUGUGCUCAGUCCAUUCCAUGGAAGCCCUUGGAGAUCAGCUGGUUACAGAGGUCUCACCAGUUAGGGGACCAGGGCUGCAGUCUCUGGCUCUUGUCCGGAAUUUACUGCUAUGGAACUUUCUCUACUGAAAGUUAAGCUUUCAACCAAACCGUCCCUGAGAGGUACCCAUGAACUUACACUCUAAUGAAAAUGUGCCCUAUUAACACUAGAUCCCUUCUUGUGGAGAAGAGGAAGGACAGGUCUGGAUCCCCAGGGGCCUGGGGUUUUCAGAUCCCUAAAGAGGGAGCACCCACCGACUACUGAUGCUGGGGGGGGGGGGGGGGGCGGGCUACAAGCCCUUCACUGGCUGCAGUGGGAGCAAGCCAAGAUCUGAGUGAGGAGGAUGAGGAGGAAGAAAUGAGAGCAGCCUACUCCUCCUGAAGUGUCUAGCUAUGUGUAAAGGCUACCAGAGGGCAGUGAAAGACAAGAGUUUAAUUCAAACCACCCAUUAGUAACUACUGUUUAGCUUUUGUUUUCUGCCCAAACUGCUUUGUGCAAGUAAACACUAGCCAAGGGUUCUCAUAUCUUUCUGAUUGUUCACCUUCAGCUAAUGAAGGAGGAAAAGAAGCUCUUGAAAAGAUAUUUCAUGAGAUUUGUGUGUUUUAAUAUUGUUCUCAGCCCCUUUCUUCAAAUCUCCUGGAAUCGUUUCAACAGCUGGAAGAUGGGUAGGCAGGAAGCAGGACUGAAGUGGAUUUUAGAACAACUUGGCAAAUUAGCAAAGUUUUUAACAUCAUUAAAAGCUCUUAAAUAUUCUUCCCCAAACUACAUUUUUAUCUUGUGAAUGCAUUUCAGUAAUUGCUCUAAAGGAAACUGUGCAACUUUGGCACAAACAUAAAUGUUUGCAUGAUUUAAAAUUCAGUGGCAGAGAAGACCAUGAUGUUCUUUAAAUUGCUAAUUCUUAAACUAACCUUUUCGGUUUGUCUCAUCUUGAAAAAAUGCCAGUUCCUAUCAGCAGAGGCUGUAGUAAAGACAAUGCAUAUAUUAUUUAGUUGUUUAUAAUUGCAAACAACUUAGCUGUAUUUCAAUACUUAACCCUCAGCUCCAACACGAAGCAUAAGUAGGGUAUGAUUAUAAUCAUUCCAUCAUUCUGUAAAUAGAACAAUAGAAUAUUGCAACGCAAGACUAUUUUCUCAAAGCCAACAGCAGAGCAGACAGUGAAGCUGGUCUAGAACGAAGAGCUUUCAAUUUAAUGACCUUACCACAUGUCGCUGUUUAGCCCAAUCAGUAUCUGCUGAUCAUAUUAAUCAAGGACAGAAACCUACAGUAGAUAGACUGGAAAUGUCGCUUAAGGAGACAAGUGUUCUAACCCUGCCUAACUGAAUUAGGAUAACUAACACCAGCUGCUGUAACAGAUAAGCUCCACAAUCUCAGUGGUUUAGCAAGACGGUCCAACGCACAGAGACAUCAAGGCAGAGCUAGGGAGGGCAGUGCUCUGCUCCAUGCAGUCAUUCUGGGAAUGACAAUCAUUUUGCAUGCCACCCAGAGGUGGACUCCAAGGCUACCAUAGAAAGGUAAAGAGAGAAGGCAUGGAGAACCCCACAGAAAUUUAAGUGAGCCAGGCCUGACAGUGGCAAACAUCAUUUCCACUCAUCCUACCCAGAGGUCUCUCAUGUCAUAUGGACCCACCUAAGUACAGGAGACACUAAAGAUUACCUCUGUGCCAAAGAGGAAAAGAAAAGUCCACAGUGAACACAGCACUGCCUCUGCCAUCCCAGCUAGAGACACGGGUAGUUCUUUGCUGCCUGAUGUCAACCUCCCUAAUUCAGACCCUGAUCUGAUAUCAAUGAUACCGUAAAAAAGCUUUGUCCCCUACAUUUAAGAAAGUUCAAACUAAAGUUCAACCCCAGAUCAGAGGCAUAGAUCAGGGUGGUGAACAGGAAUGAGGAGACGGGUGCACUAAAGCCAAAGGGCUUCCCUUCUGGACACAAAGGAACCACACUGGCCAUCUGCAUUAGCUAUAUGUUGACACACAAGCUCUGAAGCUGCCUAUACACACCUCUAGGGCCUGGACCCUCAGCUGGAUGGCAUGGUUGUUAUGCAAGCCUUGGUGUCCAUUAAAAAAAACGACUAUCACAAGAUUACACUGCACAAUUAAAGCUACCAAGAUACCAAUAUAAUGCAUAUCUGAUUCGAGGGAGGGCACAGACAGAAGCCAGGGACAAAGCCAGCCUGAGGCCUGCUGAGAGUUGCCCAGUUGAGGAAGAAAUUAACAAUGUGCACGUGUCAGCAUUCCUAUUGUGCUAAUUUCCUUGCAAAUAUAAGCAAAGCCUUUUAAUUAACUUAAUAUCAAUUUUACUUUUCUCAUAUUUUAUUUUAAUUAUGGGCUAGAUUUAAAGCUCACACAGCAUAAAUUACAGCCCUAAAAUUAGCAGCUUUACAACUUUACACACUAGUAACUGCUAAACCUGAGGGAAGUGAGGUUCCCUGCCACCAUCCUGUCACUGCGUCCCCAUGCACGCCCCUCUCCAAUCCCUGUACCAGCCGCCCAUGCUGAUCAGGACUGAGUUCCUCACCCAGGAGUCAGCGAGUGCCAGCUUCACAAAGGAAGACCCAGAGAGGCAGCUGGAGGGUGUCUGUUCUGGGUCAGUAUCAGUCUACAGAUAGCAAUGCUAUCAGCUAAAUUGCCAGGGAGCUCUCACCUGCGUCCCUACUGCUUGUGGUAGUCCACACAGACAUUUCUCUGAUUGGAGCUAUGUUAAGGCUGGACCAGCCCUUGGGGUUCUUAUUAUGAUUGCAAGAAGCACCUCAGCAACAACUAGCAGGGAACUUUGAGAAAACAAGGUUAUGACUCAUAAUUUCUGGAGGGUACACUGCACAUCCCAGGCCAUACAACAAGGUUGCAGACAGAGAGGCAGAGUGGUUCUGGGACUCUGUCUUUAUUGGAGUCAAGGAUGGGAUGCCCAGGCUUUCCUAGGUUCGCUCUUUAUUGGCAAACUUAAAAUAUAAGAUUGGGAGUUAAUGGUGCAGGAAAGAAAACGCAGGGUCACUCAGGUCAGCUGUCGAGGUCACCCGGGGGGCUGCCUGGCUAUCUACCUAGUUGUGUGGCUGCCAGUAUGUUCAUUCAAGAUGGAUGUCUAUGAAACAGAUGACUUAGCAAUCAAAAGCUUAAUGCCAGGCCUUUACAUUAGGAUUUUUUUAAAAGCUUAUCGUCAGGCAAUAGUAACUGUAAUUAUACAACAGUGUCUCUGGACAAUUUAUUUAUGUCUCUGCAUUUCAGCUCCCUCUUGUGCAAAAUGGGCAUAAUAGUAUAAGAAGGUUUGAUGUAGAAUUAACUAACAUGACACACUUGCUAUGUAUUAAUUAGAUGGUGAAUACAAACACUGUGUGUGAUAAACCACAGCAUUCACAUGUAUGUACAAAUAUCAUGUAUGUCAUCGAAUCUAAAAUGCCUUCAACUGUAGGUUGUACCAUUUUUAUGUACCCAUAAGGAAAAAAGUGCUAACAAGUAAAAUGUGAGAUGCCAUUGAUCAUAAAAUGAAUCUCAACUUCAAAGCUAUAACAAUGUGCAUCUAGCAUUGACAAAAUAUGGUUAUAUUUAUGGUUGUUUCAACCUAUGAGAUGUCUUCAAGUCAAAUCCAAGUUAACCAGAAUGCCCAAGGAAUUGAGUAUUCUAGUUAAUUCAGUUUCUAGUAGCAGAGUCCUGCUUCACUUUAUAAUUCAUUAAAAAUAUACUGGGGAUAUAGAGAAAAUGUGGAUUCCGAAUGCAAAUACGCUUUCUUUCCUCUGUGGCCUCCACCGUAUUUACUUUCUCUAGAAAGCAACUAUUUUCUUGAAGGCUGGUCAGAGACACUUCUGGAGACUUUCUUUCCUGAUUAAACAAUAGGAGGAGAUGUGGCUAGUGGUAUAGUACUUUCUACCCUGUAUAAAGAUGCAAUGACUGGAACUACAGCAGCCAUCUUACAACCAUGAAGAACAGAUCACAAGAAAUGACAUUAUGUCGUGAUGAUGACCUCAUGAUUCUGAACCUAUCCUACCACUACUUCUGGGCUUGUUAAGUAAGAACAAGUUCUCACUGAUGAGUUAAUUCCUCAAUGACCUAGAGAGGGAUUUUUUUAAAUGAAUAAAAUCUACUGUCUUGCAAAGUAUUGAAUCCGACCAUGUUAACAAUUCAUUAUAAUGCAAGACAGACAUAAACAAGGGCUAAAAGAAAACCCAUGCAAAGCAGAGUCUAAAGUCCAGAAGAAGGAAUAAUCAAUUCUGACACAGUGGCCAAGGAAUGUUUCAGGAAAUAAAGGGCUUCUGAAUCCCAUCCUUGGAGAAUAUAUGAGAUUCUAAUAAGAUGGGUAGAUGGGCAUUAUUCAUAAUCUGAU
Molecule: long non-coding RNA, 5154 nt
Organism: Phyllostomus discolor (pale spear-nosed bat)
Lineage: Eukaryota; Metazoa; Chordata; Mammalia; Chiroptera; Phyllostomidae
Exons: 2
Source: RefSeq, a predicted model, not a curated record